Molecule: long non-coding RNA, 6396 nt
Filed under: Fragaria vesca (wild strawberry)
Lineage: Eukaryota; Viridiplantae; Streptophyta; Magnoliopsida; Rosales; Rosaceae
Description: long non-coding RNA (FVES_LNC003231)
Source: RNAcentral
GGCCAGUAGGGCUCGUGCUUUGGCAUUGCUCUCCUGCAGGCUCGUGCUUGGCAUUGCUCUCCUGCAUACACUUGCUGACAUUGAUCGGGUUUGUAGUUUAUGCUCCGGAGCGUCUGUGCUCCGCAUAUGUUUUCUGACGGAAGUAAAAAGUAAAUAAACCCGUUGAUUGCAAGCACGUCGUUACCAGGCGCGUCGUGCGUUGUUUUUUUUCCUUUGAUAAGUUUUAGGACUAAUUUCAGUUUAUCCCUGUUAACUUUAUGUCAAUCAUCAUGUUAGUCCCUCUUUUUUCAAUUUCAUCAAAAACACCCCUAAACUUUCAAUUUUCAUCAGCCGUGCCCACAGUUCCGAUCUCCGUCAAAUUAUUCAGUUAAGUGAUGACGCGGCAUCAGGCAAAAAGCCAAAUUCCCAAAAUAACCUUUCACUGUUUUCCCUCCAUUAACACACAUCUCGAAAAAUAAGUUCACACUAAUCUAAUACACAUCCCAAAAACGCAACCCCAUUCUCCCAUCACAACCGUACCCUAGUUAAUUUAGCAGCUCUCUAUCUCCACCGAAACCCCAUAUUAACUCUUUGCCUCCCAAAAACCCCCAAAUCUGGUUUUGAUAUAAAACCCAGAUUACACACCUACCCCAUCCUUAAACACCCAAAUUACAGCGCCCACAAUGGCUGGGAAUGAGAUUGAGGUGUGGAUACCACGAGCGGAAGGUGCUCCAGAUGAAAUUCCUCCUUACAGUGAGUUUAUGGUUCCUUGAAACUAAUGGUUUAGUGGAUUUACGGGAUCGACGAAAAGUNNNNNNNNNNNNNNNNNNNNGUUUUUAGUUAUGGUUUGAUGUAUUUCUAUAGGAAAAAAGGGAUCAGGAGAAGGUUGUAGCAAAGACUGUUGCGAAAGCAACCACAAAGUCAUCGACUGCCUCAACAACUACACAAGUUGCUUCAGCUAAGAACAAGGGAGCUGCUUCUACAAAGUCUUCGACACCUACAAGGUCAUCAAAGAGGAUUAGAGGUGGAGACAAGCAGGUUGGAAAAUAGACUUAGUAAGAUAUUAGAUUAGCAAGCCCGAUUAUCAUCUCUUGAUGCAUUAUUUUGUGCAACCUUGUGGUAGUCACAAUGGUUGCUAGCUCUAAUUUUUUGUUAGAAUGAUUAGAGCUAGUAUGAACUAUGAACUAUGAACUCCAAUUAUAUCCAACUUUUUUGUUUGUUGUUUGGAUGUAAACUCUUAAAUGCAUCAGUUGGCUGCUAAUUUAUAAGACAAUGUAAUCUAGUUUUUUUUUUUCUAUAUGAAGGACCUAUUUCUGUGUGAUUUAUACUCUCUUUUUUGUUGUUAAAAAGAGCAAUGUUUUCUUCGAUUGUUGUUUAUUAGCAACGUUGAGAUCCGUAGUUUAAUUGAUUUUUACAUGUCCACCCAGAAUAUAUGAUAGUGUGUGGUUUUGGAGGGAAAAUAGUGUUAUUAUUUGGUUGAAUUUAAUUUUGGUGGGAAUAAAUGUAAUAUGUCUGUUUUACCCUUUCUUUUGGACCCCGGAUCCAGAAUUUGGUUUUUUGCCUAUUGCCAUGUCAUCACUUAACUGAGUAAUUUGACGGAGAUCGAAACUGUGGGCACGGCUGAUGAAAAUUGAAAGUUUAGGAGUGUUUUUGAUGAAAUUGAAAAAAGAGGGACUAACAUGAUGAUUGACAUAAAGUUAAUAGGGGUAAACUGAAAUUAGUCCUAAGUUUUAUUCCUCAGAUCUGGGGACUUGGUUAGUGCAAAACACAGUUUGGGUAUGGGUAUCUCUCCACCAUCUGUCAUCGUUCUUCGUUUUCUGGGUUGGAUCCGGCAUUAGGCGGCGGCGUGUUGAGAUCAUCUAUAACUGGAUCGAUCUCCCAUUCGAGCGUAAAUCGAAGCGGUCUUCUUCAGAUCUCAUUCUCCCAUCUGAGACUUAUGGGCACCGGCGUACUCAUCUUGUUGGUCACCGAUCUGGUAUCGUCAUCGCUGCUCUCUUUUGUAGUGAUAUAUGAAUUGCUCUUAGAAAUUUUGGAAGUAUGAGAAAUUACGAGAGGCAGUGGGAGUAGGAAUAGGUGAUGGUAAAUGAGUGAUGGUUCAUUCAAUUUUGAAGAACCACAUAUCGGUUCUGGGAUUUGUUCCAUUUGGAACAGGAAUUGUGGUCAUGUUUCUUAGUUAUAGAUGGGCGAUUUUUCCAGUGUUGAUCUGCUUGAUUGUUUUACUUGAUGUAGAGGGGAAAUGAAAUUUGGGGGUUUUUGUUUUUCUUUCUUUUCGAUGCAUUUUGUUAUAUGUUUGAUGUGGGAUUGCUUCUUUGUCUAUUCAAUGUUAAGUUGUUCUUUAGGUCUACACUGGUGAAGAUCUUAUGUAAUUAAGCUGUAUUUGAUUUUUGUUUGUUUCCCGCUUAAAAGAGAGGUAGCUGAGAUUAUCAUAUCAAAUGGAGAUAGAAGCGUAUUUUAGCUGCUAAUUUGAUGGUUAUGAGAUAUGGUACUUUUGAUUUUUUUAAUUUCAAUUGUUUUUAUUAGGGAUCUGUGGUGUCUCAGAAUUGUUUGUCAUCUAUGUUAGACUAAGGUAUGCUAAUUUGCUCACCAAUGCACUAUUUUCUUUAAUCUGAAUUUACAAAUGCCAUUGCUGAUUCUUUUUUACUUCUUUGGUUUGUAUAUAACUUGUGCAGAGAAAGGAGAAUCUCCAUUCAGAGAUAGGGAAAGUCUUAUCGGUUCUCUCAUAUAGUUUUGACUGGUAUGCAACUCAAUCUCAUUGAUCGUUAUGUUUGGUAUUACACUCCAUAGCUUGAUAUGAUCUCCAUAGAUAAUACAGUUCAUGUUAGUUUUUGUAGGCCACUAUCUUCGGUAUUAGCUGCAUUAUUUGAAUAGAAUCUUAUCAAAUUCUUUGUUGUUCGGUUGUGUUCCUAAAUCCUAACCCACCAGUACAUAUAUAACAUUGUUGCUGAACCAAAACUGAAAUCUGAAGAUUUCAGGAACUCUUAAAAUUAUGGCCACAGUCUAGUUUCAUUGUUAUUAUCUUGUUCCCUUCUAGCAAAGCUUGUGCAGCGUGUUAAGUUCCUGCUUCUUAUUCUCUUCCCAUCUUUCCAAUGAUCCUAUCAUCAAGUUUUAUCUCAGAAAUUAUUCCUUGAAUUCACAUGAUUAUUGGUCAUUGCCUUAUUAAACGUUAAAAACACUCCAACUGGUAGUAUUUCUUAAAACAAAUCCUAUUGUGAACUAGUCUUGCUGCAAAUUACCUUCGAGUUUGAACAGAUAUCCAUGUCCAUUAUCAGUUUACUAAGUAUACACCAGGUACCUUCACAUAUGCCUAUAUUUGGGGAAAGUUUCAAAUACUAAAAAGAAAACAGAUUGGUCCCUGUUUUUUCUUACUAAGCUUAGGUUGCUACGAUGAGCAAAUCACAUAUGUAUAUUUGCAUUGUUUGUUCAGUUGUUAAAUGAAGUUCUGAUUUCCUCAUCAAGUCUGGGGUCAAAACUGAAUUUAAUCAAUUNNNNNNNNNNNNNNNNNNNNCUUCACAUAUGCCUAUAUUUGGGGAAAGUUUCAAAUACUAAAAGAAAACAGAUUGGUCCCUGUUUUUUCUUACUAAGCUUAGGUUGCUACGAUGAGCAAAUCACAUAUGUAUAUUUGCAUUGUUUGUUCAGUUGUUAAAUGAAGUUCUGAUUUCCUCAUCAAGUCUGGGGUCAAAACUGAAUUUAAUCAAUUGUUUUUUUUUUUUUAUAGAAAACAGAGAUCCAUUCUUUUGCAAUACCUUACUUCUGAUUUUGUGUUUGUCUCGUACUGUACCCCUUUUGAGAUUUCCAGACCUAUAUGUAUACCCCUGUGUUCUCCUGUUAAGUUUCAUGUUUACUAUCAGUUUGGUGGUUCUUAACUUCUCAUGCUUACAUGUUUCCUCAUUAAAGUAUAUCUAAGCCAAAGCUAUGUUGCCUGCUGCUUUAAAGUCUCAAGCUCGAGUGUUUCUAUCAUUUUGAUUUUCAUAAAGCAUGAGUUGUUAAAGUUGUGUUUCUUGACAAACACAAAAAGAGAUUUACCUUUCAAGGUUUACUUCAUGGCAGAACUUCUAUAUAAGAAAGAGUAUUUCAGUCUCUUGAAAUCCCUUAAUGAUUGUUUUGGCUUAAAGAAGCCAAAAGGUUUACAGAAAGGACAUGUUUGGUUUUGAACGGUAUUAUUUGAUUAGGCCCGGGAUAAGUUACGUAGGGAUUGUGCCUCCCUAGGGUGAAGAGACCAACAGUUUUGUAAUGAUCAGGAUUCCGCUUAGUACGGGGUGUCCUCGUUGGCUAUAAUAUGAGGGUUUUCCGCUUGUACGGGGUGUGCUCGUUGGCCUUAAUACGAGCAAUGGGCUCUGACCGGAAAAGGAAGGAUUUCAAGGAUUUCGUUGGAAAAGAAGAAUAAGGGUUUCUGAACGUUGAACAAAGUGUUUGAAAGAAAAAUAAAACUCUGGUCUUAUUGCUAUUAUCGGAUUUGUGUUGGGUUUAUUUUUCUAAUGUCAAAGAGUGUGACUCAAAAGUGUUGGUCUCAGUUCGUUGUUCCUUUUACAUGUUCAGUUGUUUAUUUAAGUGUCCCAAGCUGAAUGUCGUCUUUGUUGAAAACUGAGUAACCUUAUAUCAAUUGAGUCAUUGAUUCCAUUCUCAUAAUUCUCAACAGCAACCUUCAUAAUUUAAUUCCAUUUCAUUCCGUUUACUACUGAUAUUCUUUCACACUACUCUAAUUGCAUUCUAAAUUUGAAUCAUAGUACUAUUGAUUAUCUUCUGUAGCUACUGAGCUUGUGAAGCUCACUUCCCUAUGUUUCAUUUGUUCUCAGGAAAGAAGUGUGGUGAUGUUUCUGAUAUUCCAGAGUUGACUUAAAUCAGAGUUCAUUACCCAGUUAUGCUUGCUUGUGAACUGAGUGCCUCACUUUUGUUUUAUUAAGUAUGUGCUGCUGUCUUCAUUAGAUUGUGCUCAGUACGUAUUUGUUUGGAAUGGUGGCAUUUUGUUAAUAUAGUGAUAUGAAAUAGAAAGUCCACUCUGAUAUGGGUACAUCUGAUGUAAAUUUUGAUACCAUGUGAUAGACAGCUUUGUAAAUAAAAUGCAAUCAGUUGCAUGUGUAUAUAAAGGAUCGUUUUCUUACUCUCUUUUACCUUGCUGAAUUAUGGCAGUCAAAGUUAGAGGGUGGCUUUCAAUUGAGAUUGGUGUAAAAAAGGAUCAACUGAUGUACUUCCUUUGCCUCCAAACCCGCAUCAAGGAAGAUACAAGAAGAAGAAAGCAAUCACAAAACACAAUCCAUAGCAUUUGCUUGAAUGUUAUAAUUCAUUGCCUAAGAACAUUUUAAUUGUUGUAUUGUCCUGUAGAUUUCGCAUCAAUGUUUACAAUACAAUGUAAUUACAACUCGGGAAGUACAAUAAUAUAUCUAAAAUCUGUGAUCAUAACAACAUUAUUUUCAUUAAUAAUCUCAAAAUAAUUAAAAUACAAGCGUCAUUGAUCAAAUUACACACCUCUGCGUUCUCUUAGCUAGCCAACAUGUUCCCUACCUUGUGUGCUCUUGAUACAUUCCUAAUAAAUUAUUUACUCUCUAAAGUAGAUCUAAAACUCUUGAUGUUGAGACGGUUAGCCACUUAUCAAAAAGUGACUUGAAGGUGACUAAAACUCUUCAAUUUUGAAGUUGAGCUUUUCCACUUAUAUGUCAAUUUAAAUCUUGUUUCUUUAACAUUCAUCUAGUUGUAUCUUGCCUGCAGGUUGUGUAAAGAAGAAUGAACUUAAUAGUAAAAGACUCAAAACUGAGCUACAUAAACCGAAUAACCAGUAAAAUAUCAUACAAUGAAUAUAUCAUUAGAUUACAAUGAAUUGAACAACAAAAAGAGCAAAGCAAUCUAAAGUGGUCCAAAUAAAAGAGCAACCAAAGCUAAAUACCUGAACAAUAUGUCGAGUUAGAGCAUCAACUAGAUUGUAGGUUUUUCUCUUAGCUAGUUGCCAUUGUCCAGCUGUAGUUGAUCAAACAAAACCCUUCAAACAAUAAAGGUCAGUGUGUGUGUGUAUACAGACACACACACACACACAAUCAGUUAUCAACACACAGACACACAUCUAGAAAAAAAAAUAAUAAUAAAAAAUGAAGGUAAGAAAGCACAUUUUGCAUACCCAACAAGCCAUAAAUCAUAACCCUCUAGGCUUAGCUUCCAAACUGAUAAGACUAGAAUAAUUUGUGCUUUUUACUUACAAUUACAUGGUUCUUGUAGUAAACCUUUACAACAGGGUUCCUUAGAGAAAUCAUUGUAUCAUGUCAAGCACUGUCCCUUAUUUCUUGCCCAGUUCACAUGCUGCUUCCAUAGUUCUUCACCAAGGUUUAAUCAAAACAAAAGGUCAAACAAUGAGAAGUUAAAAGACAGAAAAAAGCAGAGCCUGAAAAUAUAACACUCAUAACUGAUUCUACAGGUACUCAAUGUUAAAGG